GUAGGUGAACCUGCGGAAGGAUCAUUACAGUAGUCACCCGGGUUGCCGCAAGGCCUCUCGGGUAACCUACCACCCUUUGUUUAUUACACUUUGUUGCUUUGGCAAGCCUGCCCUCGGGCGGGGGCUCCGGGUGGACACUUCAAACUCUUGCGUAACUUUGCAGUCUGAGUAAACUUAAUUAAUAAAUUAAAACUUUUAACAACGGAUCUCUUGGUUCUG
RNAcentral lists this unclassified non-coding RNA (219 nucleotides) under rhizosphere metagenome. RNAcentral describes it as "partial ribosomal RNA internal transcribed spacer region". The record is from RNAcentral.